GAUGAACGCUAGCGGCAGGCCUAACACAUGCAAGUCGAGGGGUAGUUACUUUCGGGUAAUGAGACCGGCGCACGGGUGCGUAACGCGUAUGCAAUCUACCUUUUACAGGGGAAUAGCCCAGAGAAAAUUUUGGAUUAAUGCCCCAUAGUAUGUAUGAAUCGCAUGGUUUAUAUAUUAAAGUUCCAACGGUAAAAGAUGAGCAUGCGUCCCAUUAGUUAGUUGGUAAGGUAACGGCUUACCAAGACUAUGAUGGGUAGGGGUCCUGAGAGGGAGAUCCCCCACACUGGUACUGAGACACGGACCAGACUCCUACGGGAGGCAGCAGUGAGGAAUAUUGGACAAUGGGCGCAAGCCUGAUCCAGCCAUGCCGCGUGCAGGAAGAAGCAUCUAUGGUGUGUAAACUGCUUUUGUACAGGAAGAAACACUCCCUCGUGAGGGAGCUUGACGGUACUGUAAGAAUAAGGAUCGGCUAACUCCGUG
RNAcentral lists this ribosomal RNA (480 nucleotides) under uncultured bacterium. RNAcentral's name for it is "bacterial SSU rRNA". It matches the Rfam family "Bacterial small subunit ribosomal RNA", at positions 28 to 507 of the family's 1533-position model. The record is from RNAcentral.